This 253-nucleotide ribosomal RNA is filed under the name uncultured bacterium. Its description in RNAcentral is "partial 16S ribosomal RNA". It matches the Rfam family "Bacterial small subunit ribosomal RNA", at positions 524 to 776 of the family's 1533-position model. The record is from RNAcentral.
GACAGAGGGUGCAAACGUUGCUCGGAAUUACUGGGCGUAAAGCGCGUGUAGGUGGAUUGGUGUGUCAGAUGUGAAAGCCCUGGGCUCAACCCAGGAACUGCACCUGAAACUACCAGUCUUGAGUGGUGGAGAGGGAAGUGGAAUUCCUGGUGUAGAGGUGAAAUUCGUAGAUAUCAGGAGGAACACCAGUGGCGAAGGCGAGUCCCUGGACAACUCCUGACACUGAGGCACGAAAGCUAGGGGAGCAAACAGG